AGCAGCCGCGGUAAUUCCAGCUCCAAUAGCGUAUAUUAAAGUUGCUGCAGUUAAAAAGCUCGUAGUUGAAUUUCGGGGUCAAUAUGUUGGUCGUGCCUUGGUACGUACUAGCUUAUUGAUUUCUCCUUUCUGACGAACCAUGAUGUCAUUAAUUUGGUGUCAUGGGGAAUCAGGACUGUUACUUUGAAAAAUUAGAGUAGUUUAAAGCAGGCUCGCGCUUGAAUACAUUAGCAUGGAAUAAUGAAAUAGGACAUUUGAUUCUAUUUUGUUGGUUUCUAGGAUCGACGUAAUGAUUAAUAGGGAUAGUUGGGGGCAUUAGUAUUCAAUUGUCAGAGGUGAAAUUCUUGGAUUUAUUGAAGACUAACUACUGCGAAAGCAUUUGCCAAGGAUGUCUUCAUUAAUCAAGA
RNAcentral lists this ribosomal RNA (407 nucleotides) under uncultured Glomeromycotina. RNAcentral's name for it is "SSU rRNA". It matches the Rfam family "Eukaryotic small subunit ribosomal RNA", at positions 569 to 982 of the family's 1831-position model. The record is from RNAcentral. Lineage: Eukaryota; Fungi; Glomeromycota.